Long non-coding RNA from Carassius carassius (crucian carp), 1003 nucleotides. RefSeq lists it as uncharacterized. The transcript is spliced from 2 exons. NCBI's taxonomy places the organism in Eukaryota, Metazoa, Chordata, Actinopteri, Cypriniformes, Cyprinidae. The record is from RefSeq and is a predicted model, not a curated record.
UUAUUGUUCGUUCUAUCAUUCAGAAAUUUUAUCGGUUGUUGUAUCUGUCAUUCGGUCGUUCUAUCGUUCAGAAAUUCUAUCGGUCAUUGUAUAUGUCAUGAGGUCAUUCUAUUGGUCAUUCUAUUGGUCAUUCUAUCGUUCGGUCGUUCUAUCGUUUCUGUCUUUCUAUCUGUCAUUAGAUCGUUCUAUUGUUUAUAGGACAUUUAAAACUACCGAAGUAUAACUGAAGAAUGAUGUCUUUGUUAAAUUGUUAAAAAUGGUUUAAUAUGUCUCAUUGACAUUUUAUGAACUUAAUAAAUAACUGGUUGGAUAUCUGUGAGUUACUGAUUUGGCUAGUGAUUUUAGGCUAUUUAAUUAGUUGAAAUGUGUAUAAGAGAAUGACUACAUAAACUGAAGAAAAUGAAAGUCAGGCCUUUGCUAAUAAAAUUCUAUGACAAGUCAUUUUUGUUUGACUGGGGCAAUGCAAAGACCCACAGAUCAGCAGAGAUGGUUUUGAGAAUUUGUUAUGCAUUUAAUGUUUCAUGCACAGAAAGUGUAAAGAAUAUGUUGAAUGAUUUUUUUAAAUGUUUAAUUCUAUUUUUAUUGUAAUAAAGUUUUUGAGCCAAUACUUCAGUAUGCCAGUUUUAUAAUGCUUAUCAGAUCUUUAGUUAAUGUUCAUCUAAACUUUCCUCCUUUAUAUGUUUUACAUAUAUUUUCUACUGCCCCUCAGUUAAAUAUAUAUUUUAUUACUCAAAACAGAUUAUUUACGUUACAAUAGAUUAUAUUAUUUGCAUAUGUUACAAUACUUCAUAUUUUAUAUUCUUUAUUUUAAAUAUUUGGUAUUUGUUUUUGCGGAAGAUUUUAUCCAAGUUGCUCUUUUCUAUUCAAUAGAAGUGAGUGUUGAUAAUGGUGUUCAAGCUAAAAAGGCAGUUGAUUAAAUCUUUUCACUUCUGUUCUAACGAUUAAAUCUCAUUCACAAGUUUUGGGCAACAUGACAGUGAGUAAACAACAACAGAAAUGUAUU